Molecule: non-coding RNA, 449 nt
Organism: Python bivittatus (Burmese python)
Lineage: Eukaryota; Metazoa; Chordata; Lepidosauria; Squamata; Pythonidae
Source: the annotation of a RefSeq genome assembly
UGUUCCUUGAUGUAGGGCAGGGCUGGUUGAUUCCACAGGGGCAACCCCGGAGAGUGAUGGCCAUGAGCCAAUGGAUCCUCCUGGUGAUGAUGCUGAUACUCUCUUUUGGUGCUGUCCGAUGCCAGGAACAAGUGGAUCAGAAGCCUGUAGAAGUCAGCAAAGAAGGAGUGGAUUGUACCAUCGCCUGUCAGUUCAGCUCCAGUACUGUCUAUGCUAUGUACUGGUACAGGCAAUAUGCAGGAGAAGCACCUGUUUUUCUCCUAAAGGUUACAUCAGUGGAAUCCAAGAAAGAUGACCACCUCAUUGCCGAUUUGGACAAGCAAAAGAAGCAGAGUCACUUCAACAUCACAAAGGUGCAGUUGAAAGAUGCCGCUGUCUACUUCUGCAGCACAGAUGGUCACAGCAACAGAGAGGCACUUGCUGACAGUACAAAAUCUCACCAAGGCUAA